Camellia sinensis is the source of this 277-nucleotide non-coding RNA. The record is from RefSeq and is a predicted model, not a curated record. Lineage: Eukaryota; Viridiplantae; Streptophyta; Magnoliopsida; Ericales; Theaceae.
UGUAUCCCUUCUCCAUCAGCUCUUCUUGGAUCUUCAGUGGCAAGGCUCUCAAAACAAUAUCCCCAAUAACAUCUAAUCAAACAGAACACAAUUAAAAGGUAACAAGAUAUGAUCAGGAUGAACUCAAUUAAAAGGUAACAAGAUAUGAUCAGGAUGAACUCAAACCAAAACAAUCAAGCAAAACACUAUUCAUAUAUACCUCAAAAAGUUUAGUAAUGUUAGGAGUCCAUCAAAGUACUAUUUCCCAAAAAUAAAAAAAUAAAUAUAGAACAGCAAA